Molecule: ribosomal RNA, 481 nt
Filed under: Ligidium hypnorum
Lineage: Eukaryota; Metazoa; Arthropoda; Malacostraca; Isopoda; Ligiidae
Description: partial 16S ribosomal RNA
Rfam family: Bacterial large subunit ribosomal RNA
Source: RNAcentral
CAUCUCUUGGAGAAAUAUAUUCCAAGUAGUCUCUGCCCACUGAUUUAAAUGGCCGCAGUAUCUUAACUGUGCUAAGGUAGCAUAAUAAUUUGUCUUUUAAUUAAGGACUGGAAUAAACGAGUUGACGAAGAAAAAGCUGUCUUUAUCAGGUUGUUUAAAUUUACCUUCAAGGUUAAAAGGCCUUGAUCACCCAAAGGGACGACAAGACCCUAAAAACUUUAUCCUUAUAUUGGUGAAUAAGAACUUCAAACUUAAACAGGAUUUUACUGGGGCGGUAAAUAAUAACAAAAUUAAAUUUAACACUUUGCGUGAACUAAGAGAACAUGUGUGCAGACAAGAGAAAUAGUUACUUUAGGGAUAACAGCGCAAUUUUUCCAGAGAGUCCAAAUCGGCGGAAAAGAUUACGACCUCGAUGUUGAAUUGAAAUUCCUCUUAUAGAGCAGAAGCAUAGGAAGGGAGUCUGUUCGACUCUUAAACUUUC